This is a long non-coding RNA of Eupeodes corollae, 1454 nucleotides long. RefSeq lists it as uncharacterized. The record is from RefSeq and is a predicted model, not a curated record. The transcript has 3 exons. NCBI's taxonomy places the organism in Eukaryota, Metazoa, Arthropoda, Insecta, Diptera, Syrphidae.
GGGAUUGGGCAAAAAAACGUAUGGAGUUUUUGUGACUUGUCAAAAAUGACAAUUCCACAACUUCAAUUUUGCAAAAUAAAACAAUGGGUUUGGGUUUUUAAGAGUACGUUUUUGUUAAUUGUUUUGAUAUUUAACAUUUUAUUAUAUUUUUCAGAGCAAAAACCUUCAUAAUAAAGUAAUACAAGUUUGUUUUAAUAAAGGAACAAUAAUUUGCUGUCAUUAAAUACAGGAAGCAACUUUCCUCAAGAAAUCCGGGAGGCAAAUAUUUCUCUAAACAAGGGCGCUAAUUACAACGACAGAUGCUCAACGUUGUGUGUACAUUUUUGUUGAAAGAAUAAGAAUAGAAUUUUUUAAAAAAAUUGUGUGGAUUAUGAACUAAACGUACUCUCUGCCCUCAAUUGCUGCUGUAUUAUCAUCGGCGACAUCUACCCCAUCCCAGUGGUAAUAGCUGCCUCAGGCGUUGACGGUGGAUCACAAAUCAACAGGGGCAACUAUACCCCCAAGUCGAUGGGCCAAGUAGAAUCUCGACAUUCGACAUAAGAGUGAUGCAAGCAAGAAUAUUGUAAACUAUAUAAUUCCUUAGGGUUUCCAACAUACUCGGCCAUUCAUCAUCCACCAAGAAAUAUAAUACAAGCCCCUCAAAAGAAAGAACUUUUGCAGCAGCAACAUCUUCUGAUUCCAAAGAUUGUAACAGCGUGCAUCACAUGUGAAAUUAAAAGAAAAGAACUUAAACAUUUAUGUUGGGAUCAACUCGCUUAAUCCUCAUCUUCUUCUAGGUCUAAAUCCUGACGCUGAGGCUUACACAGACGAUGCAUGCAGAUGAGGUAACUAGACCGAAUUUUAAUUUCGAAGCAACCUGCUCUGAGAAUACAGCACAAAAAUGGCGGUAGGCGGAAAUAAUUGGCAAGUCUUCUUCAAAAACAAAUCAAAUAAAAUCUAUCCUUUUUGAAUGUCCUACUUCAGAAUUACAGGCAAUUUUGCUAAACUUAAAGACUGUCAAAGUAUGGGCUCAAUUUCUAAGAUUUUAAGAUUUUAAAACAGUGGCUGUGCAAGCCGAUGUCCGAUUGGAAUUUUUGUAUUUGCCUCGGAAAAGAAUGUCAAUGCUAAUGACCUUAGAAGCCAAGGUUUUUUAUUCAUAAGAUCGACUAACAAGUUCUAUUCCAGUGUUUCUAUAAUUACAAUAGAAUCAAUCAUUGACUAGAAGGCUGUUGAUGGCAGGACUACUUCAAAGUAGCACGCAAACAAAACGAAGUGGUAUUGCAACAAAUUCUGCUGAAAAUAUCAUCCAUCGAUAAUCUACGUUUCUGUUGGUGCAGAUAGUUUUUAAAUAACGUAAUUUUUGUUUCCAAAAUUAAAUGGUAUUAUAAAAACAGAAAACUUUGUGUAUAAUGCAUCUUAGUCAAUGAGAUAUUAAGAAUAAAAUAAGUAUUUCCAAGAAAAUCACCUCUUUUUGG